This 496-nucleotide ribosomal RNA is filed under the name uncultured bacterium. RNAcentral describes it as "bacterial SSU rRNA". It matches the Rfam family "Bacterial small subunit ribosomal RNA", at positions 28 to 521 of the family's 1533-position model. The record is from RNAcentral.
GAUGAACGCUAGCGGGAGGCUUAACACAUGCAAGUCGAGGGGUAAAUGGUAGCAAUACUAUGAGACCGGCGGACGGGUGCGUAACGCGUAUGCAACAUACCUUGUGCAGGGGGAUAGCCCGUGGAAACGCGGAUUAAUAUUCCAUAGUCCAGCUAUAUCGCAUGGUAUAGUUGGUAAAGAUUUAUCGGCACAAGUUUGGCAUGCGUCUGAUUAGCUUGUUGGUAGGGUAACGGCCUACCAAGGCUACGAUCAGUAGGGGUUCUGAGAGGAUUAACCCCCACACUGGUACUGAGACACGGACCAGACUCCUACGGGAGGCAGCAGUGAGGAAUAUUGGUCAAAUGGGCGGAAGCCUGAACCAGCCAUCCCGCGUGAAGGAAGACAGCCUUACGGGUUGUAAACUUCUUUUCUGUCAGAAGAAUAAGCUUGUCGAGACGAGUGAUGCCGGUAUGACAGGAAAUAAGCAUCGGCUAACUCCGUGCCAGCCAGCCGCGGU